RNAcentral lists this unclassified non-coding RNA (243 nucleotides) under Hevea brasiliensis (rubber tree). The record is from RNAcentral. Lineage: Eukaryota; Viridiplantae; Streptophyta; Magnoliopsida; Malpighiales; Euphorbiaceae.
AGAUCACGGUCAAAGGCCAAGUUCAUUCCACACAUAGGGAACAAAGUGCCCUUUGGAAUCGUCAUGACAGCGUCAACGUAUCUAGUGUUCCUCUCAUGAGGCUUAACAAGCUGCGUGGGAGCAUCGUAGUCAGGGAUGUUGAGCCACAAUCCAUGAGAAACAGCUGUUGGAGCACCCUCACGCAUGCUGAAAGGGUAGCCACGGACGAAAUCUGCACCAUCUCUGUAUGGAUCAUACAGAGUG